CCCUUAGACGUUCUGGGCCGCACGCGCGCUACACUGACGAAGGCAACGAGCUUUCCUUUACCGAAAGGUACGGGUAAUCUUUUGAAACUUCGUCGUGCUGGGGAUAGAUCCUUGCAAUUAUUGAUCUUAAACGAGGAAUUCCUAGUAAGCGCAAGUCAUCAACUUGCGUUGAUUACGUCCCUGCCCUUUGUACACACCGCCCGUCGCACCUACCGAUUGAAUGGUCCGGUGAAAUCUCCGGACUGGCGUGAGUCGGAGCAAUCUGACAAACGCCGGAAAGUUGAUUAAACCUUNCNAUUUAUNGGAAGGUGAANUCGUANCA
Molecule: ribosomal RNA, 322 nt
Filed under: uncultured eukaryote
Lineage: Eukaryota
Description: partial 18S ribosomal RNA
Rfam family: Eukaryotic small subunit ribosomal RNA
Source: RNAcentral